ACUUGGAGAUGUUUCGUCUAGGGCGCGGUUACAGCCACUACUCUACAGCUGGCGACAGCGUUUUUUCUUUUGAAAGGUGUUUCUUUCCAGGGGUGCGUCCGCCAAGCGACACUAUCCAACUGGAAGCCCGCAAGCACCAGCAACGUCCUCUGUAGAGCGCAAUCACGAAACCUGCACAGGAUCACACGUGGGCGGUACCAGCUUCGCUGUCAAUGCUCCUCGAGAAAAUGCUCUGCAGCGGGAUAUAACGCGCUGCCUGGCCGAACUGUAGGCCGAAGCUCACCAGCCCGUUUCCGUGACUAUAAUAUAUCGUAUCGAGGUUUCGCGUCGUAGCGCUUUGUAUACCGACGGUUAAAUAGAGUGUGGAGGCAAACGACGAACGCUUAUCUCGCACGUACGCAGCACAAGUUAAACUAACUCAGACGAUACCGCUUGCAGACGAUUCGACGGCGCCUGGCUCAUCACUGUGCAAUUCGUCGUGGCAGACCCCUCUGACGCUCGGAGUACUUUGGUCGGCAAAGAUAUUGGCUAAAGAGGUUUGUGUACUUGCUGCUGGGAACUCCUUCUGUUCCAGGCCUGGUACGAGCGCCAACUCCGGGAGAUCGUUUACGAGCAUCCAACUUUGCCGGACGUUGGUGAUGCGGGCGGGCGGUGGUAGCAAGUCGAGGCGCUAGCGCCGCGCUUCUAAGGCGUCACGAGCGAGCAAGCAGUGAAGCUUCGAAGUAUACGGUGCCACGUACGGCAAAGAGCGUUGUCCCCCACGUAAUCCUGACCGUUUAUCUUACGCAAACGCGUCGGUAACCAUUCCUUGCUUUCCCAACAUUGAAUCUAUCAACUGUUUCACCUGUGCGCACUACUUGUUCACGAACUUAGAGUGAAAUCCGCCUCGCACGAAGCCAUUCGGAUGAACCAUGCUACCUGUGCUCCGCCAGCGAUGAGGACGCGGGUCUGCGCUCAUCCGUCGUGUUUUGUACUAGCUGAAGGACUUCAAUAGUACCAGUGCAUGAGAGCAUUGACAGCAAGUCUGAGAAUACGUCGCCACCGCAGUGCAAGCACGGUACAAGCACACACGCACAUGAAACCGCUACUAUAUCCAUCUCUCUCGGAGCAAGCAUCAUCGGCCGAGUCACUAUUUCGAUCGAUCUAAUAGUUCACAUCUUCUACGGUUUCCAUUCCACACAGGAUUCACAUUUCGAUAUUCUGUUUGCUGCUUAUUUUAGCAACGCAACAGAACAAGUCGCUGUCGCAGAAUAGCCCCAAUCUGACCACUGCGCAUCUGGUUCGGUCGCUGACGUUCCCUCACGGACGCAAAGCGGAACUAUGGCAACAAUGUGUAUCGAAUGCUACAAAGAAAGCGGAUAUACACGGAGAGCAGCUCGAAAGGUGCGAAACGAAGCAUACAGACUGCGAGUUUUUCCAAGCUCCAUCAUGAAUGUGGCAUUUGCUAAAAGAACCUCCCCAAUACCGUGACAUUGUAAACGGAGCGCACC
RNA transcript from Cyanidioschyzon merolae strain 10D, 1490 nucleotides. RefSeq lists it as hypothetical. The record is from RefSeq and is a predicted model, not a curated record. NCBI's taxonomy places the organism in Eukaryota, Rhodophyta, Bangiophyceae, Cyanidiales, Cyanidiaceae. The transcript has a single exon.